UACGUAGGGUGCGAGCGUUGUCCGGAAUUAUUGGGCGUAAAGAGCUCGUAGGCGGUUUGUCACGUCUGCUGUGAAAACUGGAGGCUCAACCUCCAGCCUGCAGUGGGUACGGGCAGACUAGAGUGCGGUAGGGGAGAUUGGAAUUCCUGGUGUAGCGGUGGAAUGCGCAGAUAUCAGGAGGAACACCGAUGGCGAAGGCAGAUCUCUGGGCCGUAACUGACACUGAGACGCGAAAGCGUGGGGAGCGAACAGG
This 253-nucleotide ribosomal RNA is filed under the name uncultured bacterium. RNAcentral's name for it is "partial 16S ribosomal RNA". It matches the Rfam family "Bacterial small subunit ribosomal RNA", at positions 524 to 776 of the family's 1533-position model. The record is from RNAcentral.